AUUGUACUACAUAUUAGAAGUAAAAGUACCAGUGAGUACUAAAUUCUAGUACUCCAACUUUGAUUAUAUUGCAUCAACACCUAUAAAUACAUCAUCUCUCUAUUACCAUCGCAGCAGAAAUCAGCUCAGCAACUUUACCACUUUAACUUCAAGAAUUGGAGACGAUCCAAUGCAGUAUUAUGGUUUGAGUUCAUCGUUCCCGUCGAUCGAAUGAGCCUGCCUGAAUUUAUGGCAUCCACAAUCGGCACCAAAUUCAUCACCGGAGUGCUACUUUCAUCACCUUCAGCUUCCAAGUCCUCCAACAAGUCCCUUGUCCUUGAAUUCAUGUUACCAUUCCGAUCUCAUAUAUUUUGUUAAGCACAUGCAAGCUAUGCACAAACAAAACCUGGGACGCCAUUUUUUAUAUCUUGGCACCAAAGUUACCACCCGACUGUUAUUGCAUUCAACUCAUCCUCCAACAAGUUGGUUAUCUCUAUGCGCAACCUCUUAAUUUUCGAUACAAUUAACAUAAAAAUCAUAUAAAUAGAAAAAAGUUUGCGUAUAGAAAUAAAUGACUUGCUGUGGGAUGAGUUGAAGAUGAUAGCAGUCUGGUGGUAUCUUUGGUGCCAAGGAAAACAAGAUGGUCACCUUAAUUUUUUUAUUCUUGGUAUGCAUUAGUAAAUUUAGUGAUAGAAAUCAAUGUAUACUGAUGUGAGAAUAUGGUAUUGUUUGACUGAGGGUGAAACUUGAGAAAUGAAAUAAACAUGCAAUUAUUUGAUUCUAUCUACUCAUUCUCUCAUAACUUGUUGAUUUUGUGGUAUCAAUAAUGUUCAUAGAUAGAUUCAAUUACAAUUGACUUUACUUUAUGGUAAAAGUGAAUGUCAAAAUAGCUUCAACCAUCAACCAUAAGGAACAUGACAUGUGCAAUUCGAAUUAGAUUAUCCUAACAUCAUAUCGAUUCUCUGUUAUCUAAACAUAUUGAUAUUGACACAAUAUAAGCGACACGUUCUGAUUUCAACAGUUGGAUUCAAAAUUUUCUCAGUGGUAAGAGAAUUUAGAUUUCGUUUAUUUGGGGCGGCAAGGGUUUAUUUCUUUUUCUUUUUAUUCAAUAAUUAUUUGGACUCCCUUUCACUUGUAUUCAUGUUCUUCACCAAGAAGUAAAUAACUGUAAAUAAAAAGAGAAGAAAAAGUCGCACUUAAAAAAGAAAAAAAAGUAAAAAAAGUGGGCGUUUUGUGGACUCUUGAUUUGCAACAACGAUUGUAAUAUCAAACGCUUUUAUCUUCAUUUCGUUUCUCUGUCUCUGUCUGUGUGAUUUGUGUCGGGGUUUUAGACGAAAUUCGAGCUCGGGAGAAAAAGAGGGGUUUUGGGGGAUGUCUUCAACGUUUCCAGCCCAUGACAAAAAGUCGGGCAAAUGGGCAAGUAUUCCCCAAAAGAUGGAAAACCCAGCUCCAGCCCAUGACAAAAAGCAGGGCAAUCUGUGGGCCCAGCAGUGCCGGACUGCCCAAUCAGGCAAUUGGUGCCCAAACUUGUGCCCGAUUGCAACACCAAAAUAAAUUGCCAAGCCACACACUCAAGCCAAUUCGAGCUAUCUUUCUGUUCUUAUUGGCAAGUCAAGCUCUGAUAAUGGUGGCAAGUCGAUGCUUGUGCUGUGGAAAGGCAUCGAGACCCAGCGGAUCUCGGUCAUGGGCAAUCAUGCUAUUCAUUACCAGCUGGUAAGUACUCCUCAUAUAAUCCCCUCAUUCUCUGAGAUCAUGCUUGGUUUAUAAUCUUUACACUUUCAAGAUCAACAUCUUAAUAUCGCUUGUUGUCGAAAGACAUAUACUUUUCUUAAAUUUCAAUUUCAGACUUCAGAUUUACUGGUGUCGAAUUGAAAACUUCAGGGUGUUUUUUCUUAUUGCUGAGGGAUGCCUCUCGCCGGUUCAGUGAGAAAUGCAUACCGCACGAAGUUCCGGACUGUGUUUAUGAACGAUAAACUUUCAUGUGAGACAAUGAAGAAAUGAAUCUUCGGAGCUGGGGCUGCAUUUGUCGUCCUCACAGGCAUAUCCUCAGAGAUUUACUAUGUUAGUUAUUCCAGGGCUAACAAAUCCCCGGCUGCCUAUAGCAGAGACACCGGCGUGAGGAUGCAGAACCUCUAGAACAGAAACAAUUGGAGGGAAGUGAGAGUGAUCUUGUAUUAUCACUUGUAGUUGGUUGACUAAUAGCUGCAUGCCUAUCUUAUAUAUGAGUAUGGACUAAGUUAGUUAAUUAACAGGCCAUAUGAUUGAAUAUUUGAAAUGCUUGUGAUUUAUGUAUGAUAUUUGGAGUUUUAUGUC
This is a long non-coding RNA of Pyrus x bretschneideri (Chinese white pear), 2292 nucleotides long. RefSeq lists it as uncharacterized. The record is from RefSeq and is a predicted model, not a curated record. The transcript has 3 exons. Lineage: Eukaryota; Viridiplantae; Streptophyta; Magnoliopsida; Rosales; Rosaceae.